Molecule: long non-coding RNA, 8743 nt
Filed under: Nilaparvata lugens (brown planthopper)
Lineage: Eukaryota; Metazoa; Arthropoda; Insecta; Hemiptera; Delphacidae
Description: uncharacterized LOC111053473
Source: RNAcentral
GAUCUUGGAGUGUUGAUGGACUCGACUCUUGAUUUUAAAGACCAAUUUAAUCACACUCUUAGCAGUGCUAAUAGGCUACUUGGUUUUAUACCUCGUAAUUCAAAACCUUUUACUAGUUGUGAUGUAAGUAUAAAACUGUUUAAUGCACUGGUCCGGAGUAAACUUGAGUAUGCAUCUAUGGUGUGGGGUCCUGCUAAUGUAACUGAUAGCUACGAAAUUGAGAAGAUUCAAAAUAGAUUUCUAAGACACCUUUUCAUCAAGAAAUUCAGUAUCUUCUGUCCAUUCAAUUUUCCAACUAGUGAAUUGAGAUCCUUAUUUUAUAUCCGGUCAUUGCAGGUGCGGAGAUCAUUAAAUGCCCUAUUGUUGUUAUAUAAUAUUUUAAAUCAUAACAUCCAUUUACCAUAUUUUAUCAGCCGAAUUAAUUUCAGUGUACCAUAUGCAAGACCUAGAAGGAAUAUAUUGUUCGAGAUUCCCUUUGCUAGAACAAACCAUCAUUACAACUCAUUUCUUUAUAAAACCUUACGACUAGUUUAAUAGCUUGAAUGAACACAUUGAUCCUUUUUCGAACUCAUUCAAUGAAUAUAAGAAACAUUGUGAACUGAAUCUAUCAUAAGACAAGACGCUCGUUUUUGAGAUUAAUUGUUUUGUAAACUCUGGCUGGAACUCUCUUUUCACAUUUUUCUUUAUAUGAAUGUAAUUAAUUUGAUUAUUUCAACUGUGUAAAUGCUUUUUGCUUUCUUUUCUUUAUUUACUAUAUUUCAUAAUGUAUAUAAGUUGAAUUGUUGUUUCAUUUAAUUGUGUAAAUAUAUGGCUCUUUAUGGAUCUCUGUGAGCCUUUGUAUGUAAAGAAAAUGAAUAAAUAAAAAUAACAGUCUUCCAUAUGUGCUUGUAAUAUUGUGAGCUUAUUAAGACUUAUCAAAUGCAACUGUAGGUUGUGAAAUGUACUGUGUUGAAUAAAACUAUUAUCUUAUCUUAUCUUCUUACCUAUUAGCAAUAGUCUGUGACACUUGAACACUUGAGGACAUUGCUCUCACCAAAAAAAAAUCUUUUACCAGUAAAUUUUAUUCCAAUUAAUAAAUCUGGAUAAAACUUUAGAAUACAUACGUUCACGAUUUGAAUUGAUUUAUCAAUUUUUAAAGCGUUACUCAAUCCUCCACAAUUAUUUGGUAGUUAGUAGCCAUUACUCAAGCACAAGUCUGUGUCGAAUGUGGUCAUCACCCUCAGUAAAAACCUUAUCCAAUUGAAUUCCAUUAAUCUAAUCUAGAUACAUUUUUUCAAAUAGUAUUAUUUUAAAGCGUUCACAUUGUACAUAUGAUCAAUUACUAGCUUCAUUGAAAUCGGAUAACUAAUUUCACAGUACUUGAAUGUAUUCUUUUGUGUUAUGUUGUAGGUGUGAAGAGAGAAGUUUGUUGUGGUGGGGGGAGGGGACAGCUUGGUAUACUGAUUGCUGUAAUGGGAUGACAGCUUACAAGUAUGGUACUUGAGAGAUGGCUGAAUUUCUGAUCGAACGUAACAGCUCGGUGACAAGAAAGAACGAAGACCCCUCCAUUACACCUCAUAAAUGGGAUACAAUGACCUUGUGCGCCUUGUGACCUUGUGCUCCACAACUGUGGAGCCGACAUCAACGCUAAAGAUAAGAUGAUACCAAAACAUAUUACACAGUGUAGAUGGACAGAUAGAAAGUGUGAACAUCAAAAGCCAUCGUGUGUGUUACCCAGUUUCCAUUCUGCAUCUAACAAUAGUAACCGAACAUCCAACAUCAUAACUGUAUUAUAUCAUCUAGUUAAUUUUGAUAUUACAUUAACUAAAAAGCUUUCCUCAUAAUAUACAAGAAAUUAAUACAUUGCCGAGAUUGUCAAAGAUGUGAAUUUUCAAUGUGCUUUGAUGCAAAUUAUUGCAAAAAACUAAUAUCAUGGUUAGCUAUGCAUAAAUUAAUAGGCAUGAUGCUCAUUCUUUACUGAAUCGAAAUAAGCUGUUAUAACUUUGUCAACUAUUAAUUUGGUUUUCAAUAAACUAGUUAUGAUCAGAUGCCUUAUUAAUAAAUGCAAAAUUCAUGUAGGUUAUGUAGCUUUUCUGCAAUAAACUAAAAUUACUCAAUAAUUAAGUUGUUUAAGUUAGGCCACAUUCACACCAGAGUUGUCAACUGAGUUCUCAACAAUGAGACAAUUUCUAGAUAUCCUUGUUUUAAACAAAAAGUUUAGUUUCCUAACCAGUAUGAGAAACACUGAAAAAGUUGUGAACAAAAUCUUCUACCUCUACAAGUCCACGCAGACUAUACAGUCUCUUUUAGGCUAAUUCUUUGACAACUAGUACUCUACUCUGUUGCUCUACAAAAGAACAUCAACUUUAUGUAGAAAACUGUUCAUGUACCAAAUUUUUUUGUUGACAACUUUGGUGUAAAUGCAGCAGCUUCAGCAUUUAUCCUUAUCCAUUAAAUUAUAUUGUUGUACUUGAGUAUACUCUUCACUUUUAAUUAGCCUAUGUCGCACCUGGCUAUUCCAUUAUCUGCGAGCGAAAUAGUAACAACUAUCAACAGUAUAUAGCUGGCUUUUAGAAUUCCACUAGCUUCAAAAGUUGAACAUGUCAACAAUUCAUUCGGGCCACUGAGACAAGUACGCAGGUAAUGAAUAAUUGAGUAUCACAUUAACUGUUUUGUUAGAAGCUAUACAAGCAUCGUUUGUCAGGUGUGACACAUGGGCUUAACUUUAUAAGGCUUGCUAUAAUGAUUCUAAUCUGAAACAAAUAAUAGCUAUAAUACUUUGAAAUCAUUAAAAAAUAUUAUUUUCCACAGAAUAGGCAAUGUCGUUAUUGUUAGUCACUUUAGGUACGCCUGUAUUUCUAAUUUUAAUUUUUGUAAAAUCUCAAAUUGAUUUUUUCUUCAUUCAUAUGCAAUAUAUACCGGUAAUCUUCUAUUCCAUCUUACAUUACAUUAAUUCCAAAAAAGUUGGCAUAAUAUUAUUAUAUUAAAUUGAUGGUUAGCUGUCACAGGAGAAUAGAAAGGCUAUUAUAUCUAUGAACUCAGUACGGUAACCAAUAACAAAUAAUAAUUUGUCUAUUGAUGAAAAAAUAUUUUAUAAAAUAGGAAUAUCCAAUGUAAGUUAACCUUCCGGCAGUCGCGCUGUUGUAAAAAGUACAACAGUGUCAGUUUUUUUGCUGCACAAAGCUAUUGAAUGGAGUGGUGUCAGUGAAUGAGUCACCUAUGUAUUCCAAAACUUCCUCCCCAUCACUCCACUGAGUUGCAGUAUCAACCGAGCAAUGGUUCAGUCUUUAGGUGCCCUUUAGUCGCGACAGUUCAUAAGUAUAGUGUAUACGAUAAACAGUGCAUAGGGAGAAAGACUGCCAAGGAACCAAUAACACAGCAGAAUUGUUGGCUUUGCUUGGUGUACCUUAUUGGGCUACGAAAAGAUAAUCAUGCAAAUAUUCAUAGGCGUAAUAUAAUUCAAUUUAUUUCACCAAAACACAGAAAACAGUACAAAGAUGUGACAAUCAGAAAAAAAAUUAUUAUUCUAAAUAUCUAUAUCUAUCUGAAAAAUACGGCUGGAGGUGAAGAACUACUGGCAUAAGUGUAACACUUGUUCGCCAGUAGGAGUAGAGACUUAACUGUUUCUAAAUCUUAACUAAUAAUUAAAAAUGGAAUCUUUUUAUUUAAAAUGAAUGCUAUCAAUUGUGAAUUUAUUCUGACAAUAAUGAAUAGUUUUAAAAGCAGAAAAAAAUUUGAACUCAUAAAAUAUUAAGAUGGAAGUAAUAGUUGUGAAGUAUCCAGUUUUUAAUAUUUAUUGGAACAAACUAUUUAGAUGGAAAUAUUGAUUAUACAAUUAAUAUGAUUUGACAGUAAACAGAGUACAUAACACAUAAAAAAUAGAAUGUUGUAAAAAUUACAACAUGCGACUGCUGUUGUGAUUAGCUCGAGUAGGGCGCGACUUCCAGAAGGUUAAUGGUACUAUUACUUGAUUUCUAUAUUAAGGCAUUUAUCUCAAUUAUUAUGAAAAUUUAUUAUUCAAAUCAUCAUAAAACUAUUUUUUCUUGACAAAUAAAAUAUUAUUGAUUAUUUUAAACAAGUCACCAGAAUCUUAGAUUCAAAUAUUGAUUACCAUACAAUAUUAGGUACGGUAUUUGCAAUUAGAAAUUUAGAUCUCUCAACAUUUAUGGGAAGUUGAAGUGCAGUGAUGGUUUUUCUUCUUGAGGUAUACCAUUGGACAUUUAAUUAAUAAAUAUAUCUAUCAACAAGCAUUUCAGACAAAACAUAAAGUUUUUUGUUGGACUUGAAUAGAGUUUCUAAUUAGAGCUUUCAAAAUUAUUAUACCGUAUUCAGUCUAUUUCUCAUUCUUCUACUACUAGGUUGGUACGUUAUUAGGGCCAGAUCAUAUUUUAUUUAUCACAAGAACAAUAUGACGCGUUUCUUCUAGGCGCCAAUCAAAGAGCUCACUGCCCUGCCGACUCUAAAAACGCUUAAUUUGGUCUUUUGAUAAGAAUGACCGGUAACGUUGAACUUGUUCAAACAGCCAAGCCAUCUACUCGUAUGCUACUAAUUUAUGAGUUUACGGUACUAAUGACAUUGCACACUUACUAACAAGAUUACCAGGUAGCCGAAGUUUAAUAAAGUAGAAUAAAAUCCUCUAUUCUUUAAGUUUUCAAUAAACUUGCUUAUAUUCAUUGUUGACCGCCAACACAAAUCUCAUUACCGGGAGUCUUUAUUAAUUCGAUGGAUUCAUCAAGUAGCCUGGACACAUUUAUGAUGUUGGUUAUUCUACUGAGAUUCAAAGCUGAAACAAGUAAAUAUCCCUCUUCUAUAUUAAUUUUUAAUAUCAUUAAAGUUGUUAUAUCAUUUAGUUUUCUUCAGUUCAUGGUUAGCAUACAGUAUUUUUGAAUUUACCGGUUGAUAAUUUGAAUUUGCCGGUUAAGCCAACUUGAUAAUAGUGUUUGAUAUAUUUUGAAAUAAAGAAGAAUAAAGAGCUAAUCUACUAAUGAAUGUUUAUUUCUAAUCUAGAUAGACACAUCAAUUACAGUACUUUCAAACAAUUUUUCAUUAUAAAAUAUAAAUAUCUUUGAUUUAGAAUUACAAAACAAAUCCACGACAAAUCUGAUAAGCUAACCCAAGUAACAAUGACGACAAUGUUAUAGAAUAGAGAGCAAUCUUAUGGCUACAUUUAAUUGAACUCAGGUACUUUCAAUAAAUAAUACAAAUAGUUUUUGGUCUUACUUACAUUAUUUCUAAUUUGUUUUUAUUUUUAUGUUCGAUUCUUCAACUAACCUAAAAAUUUAGGUUAGCUGGAUGACAGUCAGCUGUUGGGCUAGACUUGACAAGGCUAGUGAGCGCGAACUAUUCAAAUACUCAAAAUGUUUGUAAACGCAGAUAGGAGCUUGAAAUUCUGCUUAAAUAAAACCAUUCCGUUACAAUAGUAACAACGAUUCAUUUUUGUCAUGGAAGUAGAAUAUUAUAUCAUUAUAUAUUUAUAUGCCUACCAUUCACUGAGAGCUUUGAUAAUAAUUUAUUUUUUAUUACUAUUCUUUCCUCAAUAUAGCAAACUCAAUCGGAGUAAUAAAGCUUUUCAAUAAUGUAAUGAUUUCAGAGAUAUUUUUUGCGAUAAAUAUAAAAUACUUCUUCUUCACUGACAAUAUUCUUUUCGAAAGUUUGUCUCAUAAACUAUAGUGAGAUCCACGUUAUAAUGGCAGUAUAUAAAGAUAGAAGAAUAGCGAUGCCGAUUCUCUGCAUUAAUUAUAUUUCUACACUGUCAAAAACAUAAUUGGCAUCGUUUUGGACCUAGAAAAGGAUAGUACCACCGGCUUUGUAGAAUGAUAGACAAGGAUAGCAAAACCAAAGUUGAUCAAAUACUGUCAUUAUAACGUGGACCUCACUAUAGUCUACAGUAUUAAACCAUUUCAUUUUAAAUAAUUUUGUACUCAAUAAUGCCUUUAUACAUUACCUAUUAAUCAUAGCUAAGUUGAUAACGUGUGCCCGGUUGCACAAAAUCCCGUUACAUUUUAAUCAUGCUUAAAUGUCACGAGAAGACUUCUCUGAUUGGUUCUCAUCAAUGGUUUAAUCACAGUUAAAGUUUUACAAGCUUUUGUGAAGCAAAUAUAUUUGUAUAACAAAAACAGGUGCUCACAGGUGCAAUAAUUGAAUUUUUCAAUUACUGUAGUCAUUAAUUUUUAGUCUUUGACUCAACUUGUUGUUGGUAAUGUUAAUCUAUCAAGUCAUUAACUAUAAAUCUCAUGUACCGUAACAGUAACUGUAAGCUUUUAUAGUAACUGUAAAAGCUCAAUGAAGUAACGGAAAUGUAGAGCCUUUUUUAAAAUCUCUUUUACAUAAAUGUGCUACAAUAAACUUACCGUACCGUAGGUGCUGCAAUUUUAUUGAAAGGUGAUUUCAGAUACCUCCAGUUGAGGCUGACAGGCAGGUGCUUCUUGAAUGUUUCAUCAGGAAAUAAUGAGCAGAGAAUUUGAAUAACUUAUGUACAUUAAUUUGCUGAGUGAUGAUGAAUCAAAGACUACAUUCAUAAACAAAUAUUUUGACAUGUCUUUCAAUCAUGAGAAUUAAUUCAAAAAAGCUCACCGUACUUAAUUUUAUUUACAAAAAAAAACUCAAUUUAAUACAAUAUAUUUCAUGGUUUGUACAUUAACUCUCAAAAAUUUUGCUUUUCUGGUGUCUAUUAAUAAUCAUUAAUAAUAUACUAAUACUGUAAUUAAUUAAAUUAUUCAACUCUGGACUGAUACAGUUGAAACAGAGAAUUUGUAUAACUUAAGUACAUUAUUUUGCUGAGCGAUAAUGAAUCAAAGACUAUAGUGAAGUCCACGUUAUAAUGGCAGUGUAGGAAGAUAGCAGAACAACGUUACCGAACCUCUGUCUUGUCAAUGCCUUCUAUAGACGGUAGCUGAUACAGGUUUAUUGAUGUAAUAUUAACUGUUCAUUCUCGUUUAAAAUAAUCAAUUAUAUUUUAUUAAGCAAGAAAUUAUAUUUUACAAUAUUUUCAUAAUUAAGAUUGAAUAUUUGAGAUGAUGGUUUCUUAUCCAUUCCGAGCUGCGAUUUAUUAACACACCUUUUUCUAUGUAUUUCACACGACAUGCAGUCAAAAAAGUGACUCUUUUGACAUCAUGUCGUGUGAAAAACAUGGAAAAAAGUGUAUUAAAUAUUUUGUUAAUUAAUUAUUAAUUCUACAUUGUUAAAAGACGAUCUGGCACCAGAGCAAAGCGAGAAAGAGAUAGCGCUAUUCGCUUUGUUGAAUGAUCGCAAUUGCCAUUAUAACGUGGACCUCACUGUAAGUGCAUGAUGCACAAAAGCCGGUUAAAUUUUAACCGUGAUUAAAACCACGAGAACCAAUCAGAGAAGCCGUCUUUUCAAAAAUGCCUGGUUCUCGUGAAAUUAAUCACGGUUAAAAUUUAACCGGCUUUUGUGCAACCGGACCUAAGUUGAAAAUUUAGAAAGUUUAUUAUUGUAGUAGUAGUUUGCCUUGGUGAUGACGAAACUCUUUGUUUACAAACACUCAGAUCAAAAAGCAUAAUAGCAAUACCUACUAUUACUUCCGGCACAAAAACUGAAGCUCUGAUAAACUAUGACGUCAUCAAAUGUAGAUUGAUUAUCUACUGGAGGUAGGCAAGCGAAAUAAGAGCGCUGAUGCUUGUUAUCCUAUAGCUGCGUAUACAUAUACGCACUUCCAACCCGCACCGAGCACGCUCCGCGCUCGUUCCUCCAUCGAACCACAGUCGCUCCGCCCACGCACCCAUCAUGAACGUUACGGAAGAUGUUAGAUCUUCUCGCGUUCCCCGGUCGAACCACUGUUGCUCCCCGGUCGAUCAUCAAUCGCUCUGCUGGAGUGACGUUUGGUUGCGGAGCAGAGCGAAAGUCUGUACGCACCUUAUACUAUUAAACGAGCAACUUCUGUUCAUAUGUUUGGAUGUUUAGAUGUUUAUAUGUUUGUAUUUCACCGGAUCUUGAAAACGGAUCUAACGAUUCUCACGAAAUUUGGAACAUAGUAGGUUUAUAAUAUAAAGAUUCGAUUGCACUAGGUCUCAUCCCUUGUAAAACUAGCUGAAGGACAUUAAAAGGAUAAUUAUUAUUCAUCCUUGGAAAAACAGCUGAUAAUAAUUAUUUCGUCGUCUGUUGGUGAUGGAAGUGAGUGAGCGAGUUCAUGUAUGUGGGACUGUGUCAAAAUUAUGACUCAGCUGUUGAACUUUUGUAAUCAUUCAAUCAGGUACUUAGUGCCGGUUGCAAAAAAGCCGGGUUAUUUUCAAUCCUGAUUGAUUCCAGUAGAUCCAUCUUUUUGAAAUGGUCUUCUCUGAUUUGGUUCACGUAAAGUUAAUCAGGAUUAAAAUUUAACCGUCUUUUGUGCAACUGGGCCUUUGUGAGGGAAAUUUUUGCAUUCCUCUGGGAAUUAAUCUCAAUUUACUGUGAUUAGAUAGAACAUUACGGUAUGAAUGUUAUUAUAAAUUCUUCUUUCGUAAUAAAUGUUUUAUGCUUUUGUACUCCAGAACGAAGCUCGGUCCCCGAUAUUUACAUAUGAUACGGUAACCAACACAAUUUAUUCGAAUUACUAAUUAUAUUUUCAAGGUCUUCCAUUUCAAUAAAUAUGGUUUGUUUCCAUUCUUCUAAUAUCCGUUUGUGAAAAGUAAUGGUGAAUUUGGAGUUUCAAAUCAUGGAAUUCUGUUGUUGUGUACCCAAUUGUCGCAGGAAUUAUAACAAGACUCCAAAAGUUUCUGUAUUCUCUUUCCGAAAGAUGAAACUUUAAAACGAAAAUGGAUAUGAGCGA